AAUAGAUACCCGGUAGUCCACGCCGUAAACGUUGGGCGCUAGAUGUGGGGGCCAUUCCACGGUUUCCGCGUCGUAGCUAACGCAUUAAGCGCCCCGCCUGGGGAGUACGGCCGCAAGGCUAAAACUCAAAGGAAUUGACGGGGGGCCCGCACAAGCGGCGGAGCAUGCGGAUUAAUUCGAUGCAACGCGAAGAACCUUACUAAGGCUUGACAUAUACGAGAACACUACAGAAAUGUAGGACUCUUUGGACACUCGUAUACAGGUGGUGCAUGGUUGUCGUCAGCUCGUGUCGUGAGAUGUUGGGUUAAGUCCCGCAACGAGCGCAACCCUCGUCGCAUGUUGCCAGCACGUAAAGGUGGGAACUCAUGUGAGACUGGCCGGGGUCAACGUCGGAGGAAGGUGGGGAUGGACGUCAAAUCAUCAUGCCCCUUAUGUCUUGGGCUUCACGCACGCUACAAUGGCCGGUACAAAGGGCUGCAAUACCGUAAGGUGGAGCGAAUCCCAAAAAGCCGGUCUCAGUUCGGAUUGAGGUCUGCAACUCG
This 542-nucleotide ribosomal RNA is filed under the name uncultured bacterium. RNAcentral's name for it is "bacterial SSU rRNA". It matches the Rfam family "Bacterial small subunit ribosomal RNA", at positions 777 to 1314 of the family's 1533-position model. The record is from RNAcentral.